RNAcentral lists this ribosomal RNA (16 nucleotides) under Melanoleuca robusta. RNAcentral describes it as "partial 18S ribosomal RNA". The record is from RNAcentral. Lineage: Eukaryota; Fungi; Basidiomycota; Agaricomycetes; Agaricales; Pluteaceae.
ACGCGAAGGAUCAUUA